GAUGAAGAACGCAGCGAAAUGCGAUAAGUAAUGUGAAUUGCAGAAUUCAGUGAAUCAUCGAAUCUUUGAACGCACCUUGCACCCUUUGGACUGCUCCAAAGGGUAUGCUCGUUUGAGUGUCAUUGUACUCUCACACUCUCUGAUCCUUUGGAUUUGGGGAGCAGUGGACUUGGGUGCUUGCUGCUUCCUUGUGGCUCACCUGAAAUGCAUCAGUGCAUCUCUCGAUUGGACAUAGUACGGAGUGAUAAGUGUCUUCGCCGGCACCUCAUAUGAGGGUGGCCGAUCGGGAGCUCUGUGCUUUCAAACCGUCUUCGGACAACGCUGACAACUUGACCUCAAAUCGAGUAGGACUACCCGCUGAACUUAAGCAUAUCAAUAAGCGGAGG
RNAcentral lists this unclassified non-coding RNA (386 nucleotides) under soil metagenome. Its description in RNAcentral is "partial contains 5.8S ribosomal RNA, internal transcribed spacer 2, and large subunit ribosomal RNA". The stretch from base 1 to 122 matches the Rfam family "5.8S ribosomal RNA", at positions 35 to 154 of the family's 154-position model. The record is from RNAcentral.